GGAGUGUCGCUCAUGUUGCCAGGCUGGAGUGCAGUGGCGCCAUCUCGGCUCACUGCAAGCUCCGCCUCCCAGGUUCACGCCAUUCUCCUGCCUCAGCCUCUGGAGUAGCUGGGACUACAGGCGCUCGCCACCAUGCCCGGCUAAUUUUUUGUAUGUUUUUAGUAGAGACAGAGUUUCACCAUGUUAGCCAGGAUGGUCUUGAUCUCCCGACCUCGUGAUCCGCCCGUCUCCGCCUCCCAAAGUGCUGGGAGCAUUCUUUACCUUUCAACUUUCCAAAAUGGUGCAGGCACCAAGUUUAAAACAGUGAAUGGAGCUACAAAGUUAUGCAGAAGCAGACACUAAGCUACAAGCUGUGUGCUAAUUUGAUUUCCCUAGAGGCAACUCUUGAGAUGUUUUGUGAGCAGUUGUAUGAACCCAAAAUGGAGUCAAGAGCUGGACUUAGACAGAUUGGAGCAUAAGAUCACAACUGCUAUGAAGACAUCAAUUAUGGCCAGACAUCCUUUACUAAACGGCAUCCCUCUGACCCUGCACAAUUUUUCAAAUUGUAACAGAACACAAGUCUUCCAAUGCCAGUUUUUUGUUUUUGUAUUUUUCAGAAUAGAAAACAAUGUACUGAGGAAAACAGAAAGUGAAGAAAGUAUAAGGUAUGAGGGUUACAGUUACUUUCAUGGGAAUGGCAAUUCUUGGAUUGUAUGUUAAAUAUCAAAGCACUGAAACCCAAAAGAAGUGGAAUGGGUAGGAUUAUUAGGCAAAACAUAAGACAUCCAGUUAUAUUCUAAUUUCACAUGAACAAUGAAUACUUUUUAGUAUAGCUAUCUACCAAAGAUUGCAUGGUACUUGCCCAGUGAAUGUCCACUCUCGCUAUUUUGGUUGGGG
Molecule: long non-coding RNA, 876 nt
Filed under: Homo sapiens (human)
Lineage: Eukaryota; Metazoa; Chordata; Mammalia; Primates; Hominidae
Description: HSALNT0009334
Source: RNAcentral